This is a long non-coding RNA of Eriocheir sinensis (Chinese mitten crab), 492 nucleotides long. RefSeq lists it as uncharacterized. The record is from RefSeq and is a predicted model, not a curated record. The transcript has 2 exons. NCBI's taxonomy places the organism in Eukaryota, Metazoa, Arthropoda, Malacostraca, Decapoda, Varunidae.
CAUACACAACACGAGGAAAUGUGAAGCCGUGAGCAGUGAUAAGUUAUCGCUAUUGGUAUUUGUGUCUUACUGCCAUCACACACACACACACACACACACACACACACACACACACACACACACACACACACACACACACACACACACACACACACACCGCCCCGCCACAGCCAAAAGGUCACGAUAGCAGACGAGGUUCGGUCAAGGCCAUGGGCUAGGUUGCAUUAGAUUAGGUCAAUGUUAUGAGUUAGAUUAGGUUAGGUCAAGGCCAUGGGUUAGGUUAGGUCAAGGCCAUGGAUUAGGUAAGGUCAAGGCCAUGGGUUAAGCUAGGUCAAGGCCAUGGGUUAGGUUAGGUCAAGGCCAUGGCUUAGGUUAGGUUACUGCACAAAACUGGAGCUAAAAUAUUCUUUUUUUUUUUACCCAACUGAUACUAGUUGGAAAUUGUAUAUGAUUCCGUCUCUCUCUCUCUCUCUCUCUCUCUCUCUCUCUCUC